RNAcentral lists this transfer RNA (76 nucleotides) under Actinoplanes siamensis. RNAcentral's name for it is "tRNA-Leu". The record is from RNAcentral. Lineage: Bacteria; Bacillati; Actinomycetota; Actinomycetes; Micromonosporales; Micromonosporaceae.
GCCCGGGUAGCCCAACAGGCAGGAGGCACACCGCUCAGAACGGUGGCAGUGCGCGUUCGAAUCGCGCUCCGGGUAC